RNAcentral lists this ribosomal RNA (526 nucleotides) under uncultured eukaryote. Its description in RNAcentral is "SSU rRNA". It matches the Rfam family "Eukaryotic small subunit ribosomal RNA", at positions 78 to 604 of the family's 1831-position model. The record is from RNAcentral.
ACAGCGAAACUGCGAAUGGCUCAUUAUAUAAGUUCUCUAUAUAUAUUUGAUAGUGCCUUACUACUUGGAUAACCGUGCUAAUUCUAGAGCUAAUACAUGCUAAAAACCCCGACUUCGGAAGGGGUGUAUUUAUUAGAUACAAAACCAAUGCCCUUCGGGGCUCUUUGGUGAUUCAUGAUAACUAUACGAAUCGCACGGCCUUGCGCCGGCGAUGGUUCAUUCAAAUUUCUUCCCUAUCAACUUUCGAUGUUUGGGUAUUGGCCAAACAUGGUUGCAACGGGUAACGGAGGGUUAGGGCUCGACCCCGGAGAAGGAGCCUGAGAAACGGCUACUACAUCCAAGGAAGGCAGCAGGCGCGCAAAUUACCCAAUCCCGACUCGGGGAGGUAGUGACAAUAAAUACUGAUACAGGGCCCUUUCGGGCCUUGUAAUUGGAAUGAGUACAAUUUAAAUCCCUUAACGAGGAACAAUUGGAGGGCAAGUCUGGUGCCAGCAGCCGCGGUAAUUCCAGCUCCAAUAGCGUAUAU